RNAcentral lists this ribosomal RNA (253 nucleotides) under uncultured bacterium. RNAcentral describes it as "partial 16S ribosomal RNA". It matches the Rfam family "Bacterial small subunit ribosomal RNA", at positions 524 to 776 of the family's 1533-position model. The record is from RNAcentral.
UACGGAGGGAGCGAGCGUUGUUCGGAAUUACUGGGCGUAAAGGGAGCGUAGGCGGAUAGUUUAGUCAGAGGUGAAAGCCCAGGGCUCAACCUUGGAAUUGCCUUUGAUACUGGCUAUCUUGAGUACGGAAGAGGUAUGUGGAACUCCGAGUGUAGAGGUGAAAUUCGUAGAUAUUCGGAAGAACACCAGUGGCGAAGGCGACAUACUGGUCCGUUACUGACGCUGAGGCUCGAAAGCGUGGGGAGCAAACAGG